GGACCGGUUGCUAGGAGAGCUCCGCUCGGGAGAGUCAUCGGGCAGGCAGCCAAGGGACGGGAGUCUGCUGAACAUGUUGUACUUCACCCUGACUGAAAUGUCACUGGCAGAAGAAGUUGUCCAAGUAGAUUUUUGUAUGACCACCCAAAGUACUAACAAGUGACAAGAUCUUAAUAGAGGCAAUAUUCAUACUGAAUAGUCCUGCUAACUGAUCAAACAGAGAAGUGGUGUUGGGGAGCUUUGCCUAGGAAUUACUCACCAAAAUUAUUUUGUAGAGGUAUUUUCUUUUUUCAGAAACUGGGUGUGCAAAAUUCUUAGAACGUAACCAGAAAAUGAAACAGAAAGGAAAAAAAAAAAAAAGAAGCCAUUGAAUAACUUAUUUUCAGACAAUCUCUGAUUCUGGAGAAAUUAAUGUCAUGAACCCAGACACAACCUGAAGAUGCACAUGAACAUCAAAUGAAAAUGAAAUUAUUGGGAGGAGAUGAGGUAGACUGGGAGAUCUGUGCCCUACCACUGUAAUCAGCAGAUUUGCCAUCAUCUUCCAGUGGAAAGAAAAUGAAACAUUAAGGCCCUGAACUAGAGCGAAGAUUUUCCACUGGACUUCACAAACAUCCCUCUCCUCAGUGUGAUGCUUGAACAUGGUCAGACUAAAACCUUUUUUCCUCCUCUUGCUUAGUAUGGUGAUAGAAAUGAUAACUCUCUUCCUUUUGUUUGAAGGUGUGUAUAUUUCUAUGGGAUCAAGCUACUGUUUUCCCAGCUGACCUUUAGGGAAUGUGAAAUGCCUUAGACAAGCUGAUACAUAUUUUACUAUCAUCUUAUCUUAAUGAACAAGGAUUACUCUUCAGUCAUCUUGAUAGAAAACAACAAAAAGUUAACCAACAUUCUCCUUUAAUAACUAUAGCCA
Molecule: long non-coding RNA, 904 nt
Organism: Pseudopipra pipra
Lineage: Eukaryota; Metazoa; Chordata; Aves; Passeriformes; Pipridae
Exons: 3
Source: RefSeq, a predicted model, not a curated record